GGUUGUGGCUCAAUGGUAGAGUGUUUGCCUAGCAUGCGUGAGGCACUGGGUUCGAUCCCCAGCACCA
Molecule: transfer RNA, 67 nt
Filed under: Marmota monax (woodchuck)
Lineage: Eukaryota; Metazoa; Chordata; Mammalia; Rodentia; Sciuridae
Description: tRNA.Ala
Rfam family: tRNA
About the family: Transfer RNA (tRNA) molecules are approximately 80 nucleotides in length. Their secondary structure includes four short double-helical elements and three loops (D, anti-codon, and T loops).
Source: RNAcentral